RNAcentral lists this transfer RNA (72 nucleotides) under Promethearchaeota archaeon. RNAcentral's name for it is "Candidatus Lokiarchaeota archaeon tRNA-Phe". It matches the Rfam family "tRNA". Rfam says of the family: Transfer RNA (tRNA) molecules are approximately 80 nucleotides in length. Their secondary structure includes four short double-helical elements and three loops (D, anti-codon, and T loops). The record is from RNAcentral. Lineage: Archaea; Promethearchaeati; Promethearchaeota.
GUGGUGGUAGUUCAGCCUGGUAGUGUUGUUGUUAAAAUCUAGUCGCCGCAAGUUCAAAUCUUGCCCACCACA